AACGAACGCUGGCGGCAGGCCUAACACAUGCAAGUCGAAGCGAUCCCAGCAAUGGGGGAGCGGCAGACGGGUGAGUAACACGUGGGAACGUACCCUUCGGUUCGGAAUAACUCAGGGAACUUGAGCUAAUACCGGAUACGUCCGAGAGGAGAAAGAUUUAUCGCCGAAGGAUCGGCCCGCGUCUGAUUAGCUAGUUGGUGAGGUAAUGGCUCACCAAGGCG
Molecule: ribosomal RNA, 221 nt
Filed under: uncultured bacterium
Lineage: Bacteria
Description: partial 16S ribosomal RNA
Rfam family: Bacterial small subunit ribosomal RNA
Source: RNAcentral